CGACCCCGAGUCGCCAAAAAUUCAACUCUCUCUCUGUCUCUCUGUAUGUGCGUCUUUUUCCAAAGGCGAAAGCCAAAGGCGGUUUAGUUUAUGGGAAAACCUCUGACCAAAGCCGCAGCGACAGCUACGCUACGACAGCUCGGUGGCAUAACAGCGCAGCUUAUCAGUAGUCCUACUAAACCCAUAUCGCCGGCGGAUACUGCCAGGACCGGCUGCGGCCAAGUGGAGCGGCGGAAUUUGAAGAAGAGGAAGAUGGAGAACAACUGCGGCGGCGGCGGCGGAAGCGGAAGCAGCAGCAACAGCAGCAACCAGUUAGGGCGGACGCCGCUGUCAGGGGUAGUGUCGGAUUGCGUGAAGCGGUGGUUCCAGGACACGCUCAAGGAGGCUAAAGCCGGAGACGUCUCGAUGCAGGUCUUGGUCGGCCAGAUGUAUUACAACGGCUACGGCGUCGCCAAGGAUGCCCAGAAGGGAAGGAUUUGGAUGACGAGAGCUUCGAGAGUCCGAUCUUCAGUUUGGAAAGUGAGCAAUAAACGCCCAGGUUACAAUGCAAGUGAUUCUGAUUCAGAUGAGCUAAAUGGCAACUCCUGACUAGACCAGCUUGGCGUUUCCAACCAGUGCAUUUGAAAUCAUCAUUUGCUGAGGGCAUAAAGUUGCUGCUGUUACAGUAUCCCAGCAUCUCAGAUAUCAAUAGCUGACAACUACAGAAACUACAGAAUCAAUAGUCAACAACUACUGAAUACACAAACAAUCUCCCUUCGCCAUCAGCUGACUACUUUAUCAAAUGUAUCAACGUAGAGAAAAUAGGUACCUACAGCAGAGGUGCAGCACCAGCAACCGUCUCCUUGUUCAGGUUCAUCAUCCAUUCUCUUAAUCACAGCUUCACAAGAAGUACAGGGUCAGCAAAACAGUUAUAACUAGGUUUCACUGGUGUUUUCUUGCUUUGACCAAAUGUUUUCCAGUCCUCUUAUUCACCAGAUGAUGUUGAUGCAGAGGACACAUACACGCAGGGCUCCUUUUCUUGUGAUUGUGAGGAGAAAGAUGCUGAAGAAAAGGGCCGUUGGCUUUCUACAUGUUUGCUUCGAUAGAUUUGCCCAUGAAAAUAUCACCAGCUUCUGUAAAAGUUCUUUUUGUUUUUGUGCACAGAUAAAAUUGUUUUACUGUUUGUUGCUGUUAAGGAAACAAUUGAACUCUAUGGGCCUGAUUGGUUACAGAUUUGAGUUUUCUGAUUAUCUUUUGUUUGAUGAUUAUUUUGGAAGCAGGAAGCAGACAUUGCUGAGACAUUCUAUCAUUUGCUUUUUUGUAUAUGAGAUCAAUUUUCAGAGUUUGUAAAAUUACCUUUUUAUUGUUUCUUAAA
Diospyros lotus (date-plum) is the source of this 1354-nucleotide RNA transcript. RefSeq lists it as uncharacterized. The record is from RefSeq and is a predicted model, not a curated record. NCBI's taxonomy places the organism in Eukaryota, Viridiplantae, Streptophyta, Magnoliopsida, Ericales, Ebenaceae. The transcript is spliced from 5 exons.